AAAGAAUGGCUUGUUACAUUGGCCAUAUGGUCAAAAUUAAAUGCUUGAUUAAUAAUGUAGUAACAAUAACUUCUAACAAUGACUUAUUUCACUAGGAAAUUGCUGGAAACGACUAAAUCAAACACCAGAUGG
Long non-coding RNA from Etheostoma cragini (Arkansas darter), 132 nucleotides. RefSeq lists it as uncharacterized. NCBI's taxonomy places the organism in Eukaryota, Metazoa, Chordata, Actinopteri, Perciformes, Percidae. The transcript has 3 exons. The record is from RefSeq and is a predicted model, not a curated record.